Molecule: transfer RNA, 74 nt
Filed under: Microcoleus sp. FACHB-1515
Lineage: Bacteria; Bacillati; Cyanobacteriota; Cyanophyceae; Oscillatoriales; Microcoleaceae
Also listed under: 1 other name
Rfam family: tRNA
About the family: Transfer RNA (tRNA) molecules are approximately 80 nucleotides in length. Their secondary structure includes four short double-helical elements and three loops (D, anti-codon, and T loops).
Source: Rfam by way of RNAcentral
GAGGAUGUAGCUCAGACGGACAGAGCAUUUGUUUCCGAAACAAAUGGUCACAGGUUCAAUUCCUGUCAUCCUCG